GAGCCGCUCCCGGCCCGCUCCAUUCGGGAACGCUCGUGCUGGGAUGCGGCGGGAUCCUCGUCCGGGCGCGACCCAGGGACCGCUCCCGGUGCUGCCCGAAUCCUGAGGCGCUCAGAUCACAGAAUAUAGUGGGGUUGAGAAGAAUCCUUAAAUCUGACUCUCAAGUACACAGUGUGUGGCAGAAUUGAACCCACAUCCUGGGCAGUACCAGGACUCUGCUCCAACUGACUGAACCAGUCUCUGGGUCACAGGAUUUACCCACCAGCUGCAGAUUUGCUCUUGCCAAGUCCUUUUGCAGGGAGAAAUGAGCAGGAAGAUCCUGAGGCUUCCCUUGCUGCAUGACCAGGGCUCUUCUGGAGAGUGGCAGGGGGCAUUUCCUGCAGCCUGAGGCCAUCACCCAGCAGCAGCACUAAAGCCAAGGCAGUCUUACCUCACAGAUACUGAAUCCAACCAACAGCCUGCAGAGAUG
Molecule: long non-coding RNA, 469 nt
Organism: Oenanthe melanoleuca
Lineage: Eukaryota; Metazoa; Chordata; Aves; Passeriformes; Muscicapidae
Exons: 4
Source: RefSeq, a predicted model, not a curated record